GUCGGCCCGCCCGGGGCAUCGCGGAGGCUGCGGGUCUGGGUGCACCUCUCGGUUGCUGAGCUGACCUGUGCCUGUCCCCGCCUUCUGGAGCGCUGACACGACAGUAAACGGGAGCGCCCGGCUGCCUGCUCCUCGCUGGGAGCGCUGUGGCCCCUAGCGCAGCAGGUGCCGUGGGCAAAGGCACAGCAGAGCUCAUCUUCCUUUCUGUAACUGGAGCAGCAGCUGAUGGAGGAGUGAAGGAGAGAGAGAUACAGUGACUGGUUCCUGUAAAACACCAGCACUUAGAGCACCAGCAUAGGAGUCUGGGAGAAGAAUGCAUCUCUACAGGAACAACGUGCUUGGACAUUAUUAGUCACAAAAAUAAAGCAAGA
Molecule: long non-coding RNA, 371 nt
Organism: Numida meleagris (helmeted guineafowl)
Lineage: Eukaryota; Metazoa; Chordata; Aves; Galliformes; Numididae
Exons: 3
Source: RefSeq, a predicted model, not a curated record